Molecule: long non-coding RNA, 244 nt
Filed under: Mustela putorius furo (domestic ferret)
Lineage: Eukaryota; Metazoa; Chordata; Mammalia; Carnivora; Mustelidae
Description: lncRNA (ENSMPUG00000030381.1)
Source: RNAcentral
CCAGGUGGAGAAGUCCUUGCAGGCAGGAAGCACAGCACACAUAAAGGCAUGGAAACACAGCCCAUUGCAGGGGUGUGAGUCGCUCCCAAGGCUGGAGAACAAGAGUGAAAGUAUCCCCUUGUUUCUUUCAACAGUGUGUCUUAGGGUAUGGCUAGAGAGAGGGGAACUAGAGAAGGAAAUAACGUGUUUGAAGAAUUAACUUUAGAAGAGUGUAGAAGUCAGGAAUAGCUGGGUUCAAAAACAA